Molecule: long non-coding RNA, 969 nt
Organism: Hevea brasiliensis (rubber tree)
Lineage: Eukaryota; Viridiplantae; Streptophyta; Magnoliopsida; Malpighiales; Euphorbiaceae
Exons: 3
Source: RefSeq, a predicted model, not a curated record
CUAUUGUGGUGAUGUCAUCAUGUUAGCAUUUGUGAUUGGAAAUAUAAUUCAAAUCAAUCUUCAGUGCAUAAACCCUGGGCUAGAUGUAACUGAAACUUCAUAUUACUUGUUGGUUCAUGAAAUAGUACUAGUGCUUUGUUUUGGAGAAUGCAAUGCAAACAUUUAUGUUUAUUAGAACUGUACCUUGCAUGAAAUUGCUAUCCCUACUGAAAAUCAUGCCACUACACGUCUCUUUCAAGGUUGAGUUUGAUAGUAAUGUUAGUUUGCUGUUCCAUUUCAUGGUAAUUAAAUUUAUUACCACAUCAUAAAGUUCUUUGGUUCUGGAAUAACUAUAGAACAUAUGUUUUACUGUGGGUUGCUCAAUGCUUUGUCUUGGUGAUCUCUGUUUUUUCUUGCACAGGAUGACUUAAUAAUGGAAUUGCAUUUUAUCCAUCCUUGGAUCUAAUUGUCAUUGUUUUCCUUGGAUUUCACAGAUGAGUACAUCCACAACGGUGCAUCAUACAGCUCCACACAUUCCUUUUAAAUCUUCAAAGGAGUGGAAUGCAGCUCAAGCCCAGCUUAAUGGAACAGUUCAUUGUGAUUAUCCUAGUUGAUAAUUAGUCUCUUCUGCUCUGAUCAUGGUUGAGGUCCUCUGUCAUGAUCUCAAUAUCCAUAUCCCCCACCAUAUUUCUACAAGGAUACCGGGCAGCUCAUAAAUCUAUUGAAGACAAUUGGGAAAAGUAUCUAAAUGAGGCUACAUGGAAAUGGCGUUUAAUGAAGACAAUAAUGACAAUGUGCCAUGUUUACGACAAGGAGGAAAAUUACAUUGCUUUUGACAAGCUUGCCCCUGAAGAAUCCCAACCAAUUACAUACCUGAAAAGGGUGAUGCGUGAUUAUGCUUGAAAUUUUGUGACUUAUUGGGUCCACUGCAUUUUGGUUCCUACUUAUCUCUUACCCUGGGUCAAAUUACGUAUGCAGUUGCAAUUCUUU